Molecule: ribosomal RNA, 497 nt
Filed under: uncultured bacterium
Lineage: Bacteria
Description: partial 16S ribosomal RNA
Rfam family: Bacterial small subunit ribosomal RNA
Source: RNAcentral
GAUGAACGCUGGCGGCGUGCCUAAUACAUGCAAGUCGAGCGAACAGACGAGGAGCUUGCUCCUCUGACGUUAGCGGCGGACGGGUGAGUAACACGUGGAUAACCUACCUAUAAGACUGGGAUAACUUCGGGAAACCGGAGCUAAUACCGGAUAAUAUAUUGAACCGCAUGGUUCAUUAGUGAAAGACGGUUUUGCUGUCACUUAUAGAUGGAUCCGCGCCGCAUUAGCUAGUUGGUAGGGUAACGGCUUACCAAGGCAACGAUGCGUAGCCGACCUGAGAGGGUGAUCGGCCACACUGGAACUGAGACACGGUCCAGACUCCUACGGGAGGCAGCAGUAGGGAAUCUUCCGCAAAGGGCGAAAGCUUGACGGAGCAACGCCGCGUGAGUGAUGAAGGUCUUCGGAUCGUAAAACUCUGUUAUUAGGGAAGAACAAAUGUGUAAGUAACUAUGCACGUCUUGACGGUACCUAAUCAGAAAGCCACGGCUAACUACGUG